Pelobates cultripes (western spadefoot toad) is the source of this 605-nucleotide non-coding RNA. NCBI's taxonomy places the organism in Eukaryota, Metazoa, Chordata, Amphibia, Anura, Pelobatidae. The record is from the annotation of a GenBank genome assembly.
GAGAGGCUGAGGGAUCCUCAGCGCCAAGGGAGUCCGGCGCUGGAGAAAGGUAAGUGCUGAAGACACACACACACUUACAGGCGCAUACACACUAGCUAACAGACACACACAUUUACUGACAGAGACACAGUCAGCGACAGACAUACAUACACACUCACUUACAAAACAUACACUCUCAUUGACAAACACACACUCACUAACAGACAUCAAACAGACUCACUAACACACACACACUCAGUAAGACACACACAGUAACACACUCACUGACACUCACUAGCAGACACACACACUAACACACUAACACUCACACUAACACUCACUAGCAGACACACUAACACUCACUCUAACACUCUCACACACUAACACUCACUCACACUAACACACACUAACACUCACCCUAACACUCACUAGCAGACACACUAACACUCACACACACUAACACUCACUCACACUAACACACACACAUGAUUUUAAAAAAAAUGUUUUUAAUGUAAUCCCCCCAGCCUCCUUACCUUUUGGAGUGCUGGGGGGAUUCCCUGGGGUCCAGUGGUGCUGCUGGGCUCCUGGGCGGGCAGGUGGCCGGUCGGGCGGGCGCGCGAGGGAGC